Molecule: small nucleolar RNA, 129 nt
Organism: Acomys russatus (golden spiny mouse)
Lineage: Eukaryota; Metazoa; Chordata; Mammalia; Rodentia; Muridae
Product: small nucleolar RNA SNORA11
Exons: 1
Source: RefSeq, a predicted model, not a curated record
GGGGUGCGCUCAGAGCAGGGGGCCUGAAGAAUGACUCCUCUGUUUAUACCGUACCCAAUAGGAAUCUGGUCACUGUGUGAGGAGGGUUACAAAAUAUGUUGCCAUCCUCUAAACAAAUGUCCUACACAG